Molecule: ribosomal RNA, 92 nt
Filed under: Acinetobacter oleivorans
Lineage: Bacteria; Pseudomonadati; Pseudomonadota; Gammaproteobacteria; Moraxellales; Moraxellaceae
Description: partial 16S ribosomal RNA
Rfam family: Bacterial small subunit ribosomal RNA
Source: RNAcentral
UUUAACUGAAGAGUUUGAUCAUGGCUCAGAUUGAACGCUGGCGGCAGGCUUAACACAUGCAAGUCGAGCGGAGUGAUGGUGCUUGCACUAUC